GACCUGCAAAGGGAGAUGGACCUUUCACUCUGACGCACUUGGACAGGUGUCACUGAGCGAAGGAGGGCAGCAGCUUGGACUGGGGCUGCCCCGAGGUCAGACAGAAGCAGAGAGAAGGUCACACUGAUGGAUGUGGUGACAGAUUGAAAGGGGAGCUGAAAGAGAAGUCAGGAGUGAUUCUUGUGGUUUGGGCUUGCAGCACUGGGUGGCUGUUCACUCAGCUAUUGGCGGAGAUGGGGGCUCUGAGAGAAGACAGGUUCUGCGGGUGCAUCACGAGCUCACUUGGGACAAGGGCUUAGUGGCGCCCAGAAUACGGAUGGGUCCCAGCAGCUUCGCUGGGGGGCGGCACCAUGGAGAUUCAGCCCUGCUGGAGUGCUAGCACAGAACUGGCACCACAGACCGCCCUGGAGGAGCACCCACCAGGUCUCCUGGGACCCUCUGCCUCCAGGUACAUGCUGGAACACCAACUACAGCCACCAAGGCCAGCGGUGCUGGGCUGAGGAGCUAAUAAGGGCGAUAAAAGUGACUGCUGAUAACUGUGCAGCAGGGCCAUUGCUGGCCUUUCAGGAAACGUCCUUCUGAACCUAUCUUAUUUCCUCUACAGACAUAGGGCCAACUUUCCUUGAAGCACUGUCAUAAGCAACCAUUAAGAUAAUGAAUAAAUCAAAGUACCCUUCCUUUC
Molecule: long non-coding RNA, 682 nt
Organism: Neofelis nebulosa (Clouded leopard)
Lineage: Eukaryota; Metazoa; Chordata; Mammalia; Carnivora; Felidae
Exons: 2
Source: RefSeq, a predicted model, not a curated record